Non-coding RNA from Symphalangus syndactylus (siamang), 3443 nucleotides. NCBI's taxonomy places the organism in Eukaryota, Metazoa, Chordata, Mammalia, Primates, Hylobatidae. The record is from the annotation of a RefSeq genome assembly.
AUGGUCAGUUCUGGACACGCUGCUGCAGCCCCGAGGGGUGUGAGGGAGACAGCACCUGGGGUGCAGGGCGGGCAGCUGCUGCAUCACCAGCUCUAUCCCAAGCCCAAGGAUGGCGUCCCAGAGAUGCAGGAGAGCUUUGUCCAGAGAAGGUGCCAGCCUUCAGGGACCCUGCUGGACAGGUCUCCACCCUCUGCCCUUCAAGGGGCCCUACGGGCCUCCGGGGCCUGGUGCCUGGACCAGGUCCCCCUGGGGAAAUUGGGCCCCCUUCCUGAGCCACCAGGGGCCACCGAGCAUCCUCCAGAGGGCCAGCCCUCCUGCAGGAACACCAUGCCCAGCCCCAGGACCCUCCCCCUCAACUCUCCAGCAAGGCUGCUCUGUGGGCGGCCCCUGCACAUGCCCCAGCAGUCCAUGCUUCCCUCUGGCCGCAUCCCGUCCCCCGCUACCUCCCACCUCCACGUUCGUCCUUGCCCAGCUCCUCCCUCUCUCCAGAGCUUCUGCCUGGCAAGGUCCCUCCUGAUCUCAGACCAGCUCCCCCAGCACAGCUCGCCCUGGCCAGCUGCUCAGCGGGAUGGGCUCACACUUCCCUCCCUGCACCAUGAGUCAGAGCCAGCUGGAGAGAUGCCCAGGCCAAAGCAGCCACCAGGGCCCAGUGGGGGCCAGAAGGCUCAGGUGACAGGCCCAGAAUGCCAAGAUAGGCAGGACCCACCUGAGCUGAGGAGGCAGCAGAGCGAGGGAGGAAGAGAGGCCCCAGGUGAACGGAGGGGCUUGUCCAGGCCGGCAGCAUCACCGGAGCCCAGGGCAGGGUCAGCAGUGCUGGCCGUGGCGCCCUCCUCUCAGCCAGGACCAAGGGCAGCCUCCACCAAGGGCCCAUCGGUCUUCCCCCUGGCUCCCUGCUCCAGGAGCACCUCCGAGGGCACAGCGGCCCUGGGCUGCCUGGUCAAGGACUACUUCCCCGAACCAGUGACCGUGUCGUGGAACUCAGGCGCCCUGACCAGCGGCGUGCACACCUUCCCGGCUGUCCUACAGUCCUCAGGGCUCUACUCCCUCAGCAGCGUGGUGACCGUGCCCUCCAGCAGCUUGGGCACCCAGACCUACACCUGCAACGUAGAUCACAAGCCGAGCAACACCAAGGUGGACAAGAAAGUUGAGCCCAAAUAUGGUCCCCCGUGCCCAUCAUGCCCAGCACCUGAACUCCUGGGGGGACCGUCAGUCUUCCUCUUCCCCCCAAAACCCAAGGACACCCUCAUGAUCUCCCGGACCCCUGAGGUCACGUGCGUGGUGGUGGACGUGAGCCAGGAAGACCCCGAGGUCCAGUUCAACUGGUACGUGGACGGUGUGGAGGUGCACAAUGCCAAGACAAAGCCGCGGGAGCAGCAGUUCAACAGCACGUUCCGUGUGGUCAGCGUCCUCACCGUCGGGCACCAGGACUGGCUGAACGGCAAGGAGUACAAGUGCAAGGUCUCCAACAAAGGCCUCCCAGCCUCCAUCGAGAGAACCAUCUCCAAACCCAAAGGGCAGCCCCGAGAGCCGCACGUGUACACCCUGUCCCCGUCCCAGGAGGAGAUGACCAAGAACGAGGUCAGCCUGACCUGCCUGGUCAAAGGCUUCUACCCCAGCGACAUCGCCGUGGAGUGGGAGAGCAGCGGGCAGCCGGAGAACAACUACAAGACCACGCCUCCCAUGGUGGACUCCGACGGCUCCUACUUCCUCUACAGCAAGCUCACCGUGGACAAGAGCAGGUGGCAGCAGGGGAACGUCUUCUCAUGCUCCGUGAUGCAUGAGGCUCUGCACAACCACUACACGCAGAAGAGCCUCUCCCUGUCUCCGGAGCUGCAACUGGAGGAGAGCUGUGUGGAGGCGCAGGACGGGGAGCUGGACGGGCUGUGGACGACCAUCAGCAUCUUCAUCACACUCUUCCUACUAAGCGUGUGCUACAGUGCCACUGUCACCUUCUUCAAGGUGAAGUGGAUCUUCUCCUCGAUGGUGGACCUGAAGCAGACCAUCAUCCCCGACUACAGGAACAUGAUCAGGCAGGAGGCCUAGGGCCACCCUCUGCAGGGUGUCCAGGGCUGCCCAGACCCUACACAGGAGCCAUGGGCCAUGCUCAGCCACCACCCAGGCCACACCUGCCCCCUGACCUCACUGCCCUCAACCCCAUGGCUCUCUGGCCUCACAGUCGCCCUCUGACCCUGCCACACCUGACACACCCCCCUUCCAGACCCUGUGCAUAGCAGGUCUACCCCAGAUCUCCGCUGCUUGGUGCCUGCAGGGCGCUGGGGGCCAGGUGUCCCCUCAGCAGGACGUCCCUGCCCUCCGGCCCGCCAGGUGCUCACACAAAAGGAGGCAGCGACCGGCAUGCCAGGCCCCCACCCACGCAGGAGCUGGCCCUGGAGCCAACCCCGUCCACACCAGCCUCCUGAACACAGGCGUGGUUUCCAGAUGGUGAGUGGGAGCAUCAGCCGCCAAGGUAGGGAAGCCACAGCACCAUCAGGCCUGUUGGGAGGCUUCGGGGAGCUGCGAAGGCUCACUCAGACGGCCUUCCUCCCAGCCCCCAGCCAGCCAGCCUCCAUUCCAGGCACUCCCGUGAACUCCUGACAUGAGGAAUGAGGUUGUUCUUAUUUCAAGCAAAGAACGCUGCUCUCUGGCUCCUUGGAACAGUCUCGGUGCCAGCACCACCCCUUGGCUGCCUGCCCACACUGCUGGAUUCUCGGGAGGAACUCAACCCACAGGGACAGCCAGCCCCAGAGUCUGCACUGGGAAGAGAAGGGGCCAGGCCCAGGACACUGCCACCUCCCACCCGCUCCACUCCACUGAGAUCACUCAGAGAAGAGCCUGGGCCAUGGGGCCGCUGUAGAGCCCCAGAGUGCAAGGGUGAGGAGAGCCCAAGGAAGGGGCAUCUGCCCAGACAGGCCUCCCAGAGAAGGUCCCAGGCGGGCAAGACUCAGCCUUGGUGGGGCCUGAGGACAGAGGAGGCCCAGGAGCACGGGGGAGAGAGGUGGAGGGACACCAGGAGAGCCAGGAGCGUGGACACAGCCAGAACUCAUCACAGAGGCUGGCGUCCAGCCCCAGGUCAGGUGCAGCAGGAACAAGCAGCCACUCUGGGGGCACGAGGUGGAGAGGCGAGACGACAAAGAGGGUGCCCGUGUUCUUGCGAAAGCGGGUCUGCUGGCCACGAGUGCUGGACGGAGGCCCCCACGCUCUGCUGCCCCCAUCACGCCGUUCCGUGAAUGUCACGCAGAAUCUGCAGACAGGAAGGGAGGCACAAGCAGGAGUGCGACAAGUGCCUGCCUCGGCCGUCAGGGAGGACUCCCGGGCUCACUCGAAGGAGGUGCCACAAUUUCAGCUUUGGUAGCUUUUCUUCUUUUACAUUUUCUAAAGCUCAUUAAUUGCCUUUAAUGCUUCUCUUUUUUGAUGACAAUAAAAUAUCCUGUUUAAGUCUUGUA